AGAAUUGUGUCUGGGCAUCUGA
RNAcentral lists this microRNA (22 nucleotides) under Scyliorhinus torazame (cloudy catshark). RNAcentral describes it as "Sto-Mir-219-P2_3p (mature (co-guide))". The record is from RNAcentral. Lineage: Eukaryota; Metazoa; Chordata; Chondrichthyes; Carcharhiniformes; Scyliorhinidae.